This 274-nucleotide ribosomal RNA is filed under the name uncultured bacterium. RNAcentral's name for it is "partial 16S ribosomal RNA". It matches the Rfam family "Bacterial small subunit ribosomal RNA", at positions 523 to 796 of the family's 1533-position model. The record is from RNAcentral.
AUACGAACCGGACAAACGUUAUUCGGAAUUAUUGGGCUUAAAGGGUGCGUAGGCGGCGCGGUAAGCGAGGUGUGAAAGCCCACGGCUCAACCGUGGAAUUGCGCUUCAUACUGCCGUGCUAGAGGGAGACAGAGGUAAGCGGAACUGAUGGUGGAGCGGUGAAAUGCGUUGAUAUUAUCAGGAACACCGGUGGCGAAAGCGGCUUACUGGGUCUCUUCUGACGCUGAGGCACGAAAGCUAGGGUAGCGAACGGGAUUAGAAACCCCGGUAGUCC